UGGAAGACUUGUGAUUUUGUUGUUUCCAAUGUCAACGGGAGCGAACAACAAAUCCCAGUCUCCUCC
This 66-nucleotide microRNA precursor is filed under the name Columba livia (rock pigeon). Its description in RNAcentral is "Cli-Mir-7-P3_pre stem-loop". The record is from RNAcentral. Lineage: Eukaryota; Metazoa; Chordata; Aves; Columbiformes; Columbidae.